Non-coding RNA from Caerostris darwini, 79 nucleotides. NCBI's taxonomy places the organism in Eukaryota, Metazoa, Arthropoda, Arachnida, Araneae, Araneidae. The record is from the annotation of a GenBank genome assembly.
GGCCUGAUGGCCGAGUGGCUAGCGCUGUGGCGCUCGGUGCCAUGGAUGUUUGCAGUGGUUCGGAAACCACUUUAAGCCA